This 502-nucleotide unclassified non-coding RNA is filed under the name Hevea brasiliensis (rubber tree). The record is from RNAcentral. Lineage: Eukaryota; Viridiplantae; Streptophyta; Magnoliopsida; Malpighiales; Euphorbiaceae.
CGGGCAAUGACUCAUGAAAGUUUGCUUUUUGUUAAAUUAUUUUAGAAUAUGAACGAGUACCAAGUUGAACAUUUGUGGUAAUGUUGGGAAUAAUAAAGUUCAUGUGUUGACUGCAUACAAUAGGAACAUGGGGUACUGUUCACGAACAGAAUGCUUAUCACUCAGGCUCUGAUUGGACAAUUGGGACAACUUGGUGUUUGAAAAUGUUUUGCAAAAUGAUUUAUUGGCACAUGAAGUGGUGGGUUGAUACUGUUUCAUCCUUUUGGCACAUGAAGUGGUGGGUUGAUACUGUUUCAUCCUUACUGACAUGCUUCUGUCAUUUAAGGCCCUGGACAUCAUUCCCUGUGAUUCUAGUGACACUGUUCUUUCUUCUUCUUUGUUGGGAGUAUUUUGGGAUGUGAUUCUUCAUACAAAAUUUUCAAAAGCAUGAGUGAUGAUGUGAUCUUAAAUUUUCUUGAAAAUUUUAUUUUGAAACAAAAUGUAUAAGAGGAAAUGAAAUAUG